RNAcentral lists this ribosomal RNA (253 nucleotides) under uncultured bacterium. Its description in RNAcentral is "partial 16S ribosomal RNA". It matches the Rfam family "Bacterial small subunit ribosomal RNA", at positions 524 to 776 of the family's 1533-position model. The record is from RNAcentral.
UACGUAGGGUGCAAGCGUUGUCCGGAAUUAUUGGGCGUAAAGAGCUUGUAGGCGGUUUGUCGCGUCUGCUGUGAAAUUUCGGGGCUCAACCCCGAACUUGCAGUGGGUACGGGCAGACUAGAGUGUGGUAGGGGAGACUGGAAUUCCUGGUGUAGCGGUGAAAUGCGCAGAUACCAGGAGGAACACCGAUGGCGAAGGCAGGUCUCUGGGCCACUACUGACGCUGAGAAGCGAAAGCAUGGGGAGCGAACAGG